This 588-nucleotide ribosomal RNA is filed under the name uncultured bacterium. Its description in RNAcentral is "bacterial SSU rRNA". It matches the Rfam family "Bacterial small subunit ribosomal RNA", at positions 338 to 916 of the family's 1533-position model. The record is from RNAcentral.
CCUACGGGAGGCAGCAGUGGGGAAUUGUUCGCAAUGGGCGCAAGCCUGACGACGCAACGCCGCGUGGAGGAUGAAGAAUUUCGGUUCGUAAACUCCUUUCGAUCGGGAAGAACAGCUCUUGAGUUAAUAGCUUGGGAGUCUGACGGUACCGAGAGAAGAAGCCCCGGCUAACUCUGUGCCAGCAGCCGCGGUAAUACAGGGGGGGCAAGCGUUGUUCGGAAUUACUGGGCGUAAAGGGCUCGUAGGCGGCCAACUAAGUCCGACGUGAAAUCCCAAAGCUUAACUUUGGAACUGCGUCGGAUACUGGAUGGCUUGAAUUCGGGAGAGGGAUGCAGAAUUCCAGGUGUAGCGGUGAAAUGCGUAGAUAUCUGGAGGAAUACCGGUGGCGAAGGCGGCAUCCUGGACCGACAUUGACGCUGAGGAGCGAAAGCUAGGGGAGCAAACGGGAUUAGAUACCCCGGUAGUCCUAGCCCUAAACGAUGAAUGCUUGGUGUGGCGGGUAUCGAUCCCUGCCGUGCCGAAGCUAACGCAUUAAGCAUUCCGCCUGGGGAGUACGGUCGCAAGGCNGAAACUUAAAUGAAUUGACGG